UGAUCCUGGCUCAGAUGAACGCUGGCGGGUGCCUAAUACAUGCAAGCGAGCGAACAGCGAGGAGCUUGUCCUCUGACGUUAGGGCGGACGGGUGAGUAACACGUGGAUAACCUACCUAAAGACUGGCUACUUCGGAACGGAGCUAUACCGGAUAACAUUUGAACCGCAUGGUUCAACAGUGAAAGACGGUCUUGCUGUCACUUAUAGAUGGUCCGCGCCGCAUUAGCUAGUUGGUAAGGUACGGCUUACCAAGGCAACGAUGCGUAGCCGACCUGAGAGGGUGAUCGGCCACACUGGAACUGAGAACGAUCCAGCUCUACGGGAGGCACGAGGAAUCUUCCGCAAUGGCGAAA
This 353-nucleotide ribosomal RNA is filed under the name Staphylococcus caprae. RNAcentral describes it as "bacterial SSU rRNA". It matches the Rfam family "Bacterial small subunit ribosomal RNA", at positions 14 to 379 of the family's 1533-position model. Lineage: Bacteria; Bacillati; Bacillota; Bacilli; Caryophanales; Staphylococcaceae. The record is from RNAcentral.